GACGAACGCUGGCGGCGUGCUUAACGCAUGCAAGUCGAACGGAAAGGCCCUGCUUUUGUGGUGUGCUCGAGUGGCGAAAGGGUGAGUAACACGUGAGUAACCUGCCCUUGACUUUGGGAUAACUUCAGGAAACUGGGGCUAAUACCGGAUAGGAGCUCCUGUUGCAUGGUGGGGGUUGGAAAGUUUAGGCGGUUGGGGCUGGACGCGCGGGUUACCAGGUUGUUGGUGGGGUGGUGGCUUACCAAGGCAUUGGCGGGUAGCCGGCAUUAGAGGGUGGCCAGCGUCAAUGGGACUGAGGGAGGGCCCAGACUGCUACGGGAGACAGCAGGGGGAAAUAUUGCACAAUCGUCCCGAGCGUGAGGCAGCAACGCCGCGUGCGGGAUGACGGCCUUCGGGUUGUAAACAGCUUUCGCCUGUGACGAAGCGUGAGUGACGGUAAUGGGUAAAGAAGCACCGGCUAACUACGUG
RNAcentral lists this ribosomal RNA (468 nucleotides) under uncultured bacterium. Its description in RNAcentral is "partial 16S ribosomal RNA". It matches the Rfam family "Bacterial small subunit ribosomal RNA", at positions 28 to 507 of the family's 1533-position model. The record is from RNAcentral.